RNAcentral lists this unclassified non-coding RNA (449 nucleotides) under Hevea brasiliensis (rubber tree). The record is from RNAcentral. Lineage: Eukaryota; Viridiplantae; Streptophyta; Magnoliopsida; Malpighiales; Euphorbiaceae.
AGUGAUAAAAUUGAAGAUACUGGCAACUCCCUGUCCGAAAUCAAAACUGUUGUUCCUGGAAAUGUGUCAAAGAAACCUGGCAGUAUAAAGAUUAAGUUCUCAAAAGUGCUUGGUGGAUUGAGAGUUGAGAAGAGUGGUAGCACUGUAAUGGUGCAGGAUGAGAGCUUACAACAAAAGGAAUCGAAGACACCUCAUCAGGAAUCUCAAUAUAACAAGCAAGAGUUAGAUUCUGCCAUGUUGGGGAUUAAGAAGGUAAUGAAAAUGGAUGCAGCUGAAACCUUCAAUGUUCCUGUGAAUCCCGAACCUCUAGGAAUACCUGUAAGUGGAAAUAAAGCUCUAGGAAUACCUGUAAGUGUUUGGGGUGCUUAAUGACAUUAUAUCUAUGGUCCUUAUAGCACAAUGCUUAUAUUACCACACCACCCAAACCCCAACAAUUCCCCCACCCCCCA